AGGUAUAGAACCAUAGAGACUGGAAAGCUUCACUAGGUAGACAGAUUCAUUUUAAGUAGAUUAAUGGUAAUGAUUUCAUCUAAUAUUUCUAAUUGCAGUUUUAUUCCUGUUUGAGUAUCCAGUAAAUGUACCAGAGCCAGUCACAUACAUAGGAGUCGUUUGAGUUUGGUUAAUCACAGAAUAAGCAGCAAGGAGACGACGAGCAAGGUUGGAGGGCAAAUUUUAGGAGCAGCAGGCAAUCUCCGCUUCCACCACCGGUCAAGAAACCAGCAUGUAUUUGGGAUCCAGCCGCGAAGGCAGACAUCAGGAUGGAUCAGUCGCAAAGGUACAUUAGCAGCAAGAAUGACGCCAAAACAAAACACAAUGACGACCAAGCAGGGUCAAGAAAUGUAUGGCAUAGUGGAACAACCAAUCUCCAAGUCCAGCAAAGAAGUACAGAUAACACUGCGCCACGCUCAGUAGGCACACAGCAUUAACUACUAGGCUCUGAAUUAGUAGCGCCGUAUCAUUUCAGCAGUCUCGGAACCAUUGAGAUUGGAAAACUUCACUAGAUAGGCAGAUUCGCCUUGAGUAAACCAAUGGAAAUGACUUCAUCCAAUAUUACCAACUGCAGCUCUACUCUUGUUUAAGUAUCCAGUAACUGAACAGAGCCAACCACAUGUUUAGGAGCCGUACAAGUUAGAUUGAGCAUAGGUAAGUCAGCAUAUUCCAUAUAGGUAUAUUAGCAGCAAGGAUGACGCUAAAAACAGAGCCAGGGUCGAUAAAGUAUGGCAUAGUGAAACGACUAUUCUCCAAGUCUGGUGGCGAUGUACAGGAUGCGUAAUAAUUAGUAUUCCAAAUAGCCGUCAUGACAGGAUAAGUUAAUAUGUGAUCGUCAGGUAGUCGCGGCAAAGGGCAGAUUGCUGAAGGAACCUGGGACAAAGUAGUACAUUAAAGUAUUUGUGGUUGGCAAGGCUGGAAAGCCUAUCAUCUAGUUGCUGUUCAGGAGUAGGUGGUGGAAUCUUACUCAGAGAAGGUGGAAUCAUAACAAGACGUUGAAUGUAUUCUGGUUGGCAUUUGAUUUUCUGCACUGUUUACCUGCGUGUAUAAACACUACUACGGAGUCACCAUGGUGGAGCGUUUACCCAGAACAUCAAGAAGCGCUGAAAAGGAUCACAUUCAAGCUUUAGGCAUUCAAUCUCUUCACAAGCUUCAGUAUCUAAUUUCCUUUAAGCCUAUUUACAUCCGUAUGCUGCUACAUUAUAGAAUCAAUCCAGUUUUAAAUUCCUGAUUCAGUUAUGGAGGAAUAGGAGCAGCGAAAUACGCUAAACAGGCUGAAGAGAGCAAAUAUAGGAGCUGCAAACGAAUUCCUAAGACUGGCAGAUUGGCUAGAAAAUGCAGUCAAUUUUUCCAAGGAUACUGCAACGUUACGUUACUCAAGUGGGUGCUUAGCAGUUGGUCAGGAUUCCGUCAGAUGAACAGCUGUUGGAUUGAAUGAUGCCAAUUAACUCCCAAUUGAGGGGCAGACAUAUGUUAUCCCGCUGCAGCAAAGAUUUUAGGAUGGAUUAAUUACAGGAACGUAAAUAAAUUAGCAGCAGAUUGUAGGA
This is a non-coding RNA of Drosophila bipectinata, 1586 nucleotides long. The record is from RefSeq and is a predicted model, not a curated record. Lineage: Eukaryota; Metazoa; Arthropoda; Insecta; Diptera; Drosophilidae.